GGAGUUGGCCAGGCAGUCGCUGCGUACGCUCCGGCGUGCGCAGAGGAAAGUCCGGGCUCCACAGAGCAGGGUGCCGGCUAACGGCCGGGCGCCGUGAGGCGACGGAAAGUGCAACAGAAAACACACCGCCGCCGCGGAUCGGAUUGCGUGGCCGCCGCGCGAGCGGCGGUCGCGGUCUCCCAGGCGGGUGGGCGCCGCGAGGCGCGUGCCCGAGGUCCGGGGCGGCAAGGGUGAAAUGGUGCCCCGCCCGCGUGGGCGGGGGGCGGCGCGAUUGGGCGCGCCGUCGGUAAGAGCGCACCGCGGUCCUGGAGACAGGGCUGGCUGGCAAACCCCACCCGGAGCAAGACCGAAUAGGCAGGUGCCCGAGGGCUGCUCGCCCGAUGCCUGCGGGUUGGUCGCUCGAGCCCCGAGGAAACUCAGGGCCCAGAGGAAUGGCUGCCGGGGCGCCGCGAGGCGCCGGACAGAACCCGGCUUAUCGGCCGACUCCAACU
This 491-nucleotide RNase P RNA is filed under the name Burkholderiales bacterium. Its description in RNAcentral is "RNase P RNA component class A". It matches the Rfam family "Bacterial RNase P class A". Rfam says of the family: Ribonuclease P (RNase P) is a ubiquitous endoribonuclease, found in archaea, bacteria and eukarya as well as chloroplasts and mitochondria. The record is from RNAcentral. Lineage: Bacteria; Pseudomonadati; Pseudomonadota; Betaproteobacteria; Burkholderiales.